Long non-coding RNA from Antechinus flavipes (yellow-footed antechinus), 2504 nucleotides. RefSeq lists it as uncharacterized. The transcript has 2 exons. NCBI's taxonomy places the organism in Eukaryota, Metazoa, Chordata, Mammalia, Dasyuromorphia, Dasyuridae. The record is from RefSeq and is a predicted model, not a curated record.
AGAGAUUCAGCUGUUCUGUAAUGAGUCGAUUGGACAUCAACUUCUGCUGUUGAUCACUAUACUUCAAAGAAUUCUACUAAUCCUUGAAAGAGGAUCACAGGCUCACUGGAAUAUCAGAGAGGACAUACAGAAAAGCAUGAAGAAGAAGACUUUUGCCAAAUAAUCUUGCACCAUAGAGACUGAAAGUCAUAGGGGUUGAUAUCUCCCUACUUCAGUGGGGUAUAGCAGAAGCAAUUAUAUGUAUAGUCCUGACAUAGUUAAUUGGGUAAUUUAUCUUCUUUCCAAAACCUGUAUCCAAGACAUAACUAUUACUACUAAGGUUCAUCAAAGUCUCCAAUCAUUUUCCAUUUUAAAUGAUUCACAGGGUCAAAGAGAUAAAGUUAGAAGAAACACAGAAUGUAUCUCCAAAGACUUGAUUCCUUGUAAGAAAUGUAAAAACAUGAUGGCACAAGUAAAUUUUUAAUCUUUCAGAGUUGAAGAUUAUCACUUUGGAAGAGAGAAUGUGGGACAUGAAUGUUUGUCUCUGUUAAUAAUGUCAGAAUAAUAUUAUAGUUUUCUGGAUUUCAGAGCUCAUUUACAGAAUUCUCUAAAUUGUGAGAAAUAUAGUAUGAGACUAUCUGAAGUGGGAGUGGGAAGUAAUGGCCAAAAUAUUUAGAUAUUUCUGAGUACAAUUUCUACAUAAAUAUGACCACUUUUUUGAUAAUUGGGAAACAUUUAAUAAAGUAGGUAAAAAUAUAAUAGCGCAUAGAUGAUCUUAAUAGAGUUUAGGUAUAGUAGACUGUUGGCAAUAUUUUCUCUAUCCUUGCCAACCUUAUAAAAAUUAUUCAGUCCAACCAUAGAGGGAAUGAAUAGAUUAUAGGGAGAAAUGGGUAGAGAGUCAGUAUGAAUGAAUGGUAUUUGAAGGAAAUGGGAAGAAAAUCCAUCUGGGGCCUGUCCUAUUCCUUUCUCUCUCCACCUCUUCCCUUAGCUCCCUACUUAAGGCAGAGAGAUGCAGUGAAUUAGAUCUAAAAUCUCCCAACAUGGAAGGAUGGUAAAAGUUAAAAUAAUUUGGUUGCCCAGCUAUGGGGCAGGGCAGAAGAAUAUAGUCAUUAGAGAAGGGUAGAAUCAGAAAAUGAGUGAUGGUAGAAGUAUCAGUAUUUAGAGAAGAAAAAAUACACUUAAUAAAAACAGUGCAAUCAGAUAAAUUAACACAUCUUAAAAAACUAGAAGUCUGAUUACAAAGGAUUAUGAAGUUCUUUUAACAAAUAUUACAAGAUUAAGAAAAGUGAAAAAAUGUUUGAUGAAAUACAAGAUGUGGAAAAUCUCAAGAAAGCAUGAAAUACCAGAGUAGUUCAAAAGAAAAAAAAUUGGAAUAUAUAUGUCAAGAGUGAUAGCUCUCAAUGCACUAAUAAAAAUCAAUUCGCAGAUUAGAAAAAAAAAUAAAACAACAAAAAUUCUAUGGGAUAGAAUCUUUCCAAGAAGUGAAAGAGAGAUUUGGAAUACCAAACUACUGAAGUGGAGGAAAAUCUGGCGGAUAAGGCAGCAAAGUUAAAAGUUAACAUGAUUUAAAUGUACAAAAGAGAGGAACAAACAGUUCUUAAAAGAAUAUUUGCAAACUAUUAACAACAAUGUGAAAGAAUGCUCCAAAUCACUAAAAUCAAAAGAAAUGAAAAUCCAAACAACCUUGAAAUUUUGCCUCACAGCUAGCAAAUUGGCAAAGAUGAUAAAAGAAGAGAAUAGUUGAUGUAGGAGGGGUUGUGGAAAGUUGGGCAUGCCAAUGCAUUAUUGGUGGAGCUGUGAAUUGAUCCAACUAUUCUCAAAAACAAUUUAAAAAUAUGUGAAGAAAGUGACUAAAACAAUCACACCACUUUUUCCCCCCUGCAUAUAAUAGUGCAUAUCUAUAUCUAUAGUUGAAUUUUUUUCUGGUUCUUUUUCAUAAUUUUAAGGACUGUAUCUCUGGUAGCAUGUGAGAAGAGGAAAACAAUGGGACAUGUAAAUGAUCCAAAAUAUAAAAAAAAUUAUAAAUAACAAUAUUAUCAAUGCAUUAAUUUUAAGAAACAUUUUGCUGAUAAACAUGCCUGCCUAUUAUGUAAUUUUAUUUUGUUUAUAUUUUUAGGUUAAAAUGUGAACAAUUUAAAUGAUAGUAUAAUAUAAUAUUUAUUUGUUACAUUAAUUUACUGUAUGUUUAUGAUUUAUUUCUGCUAUCAUUAAAAUAUAGUAAACUUAUAAGUAACCCAAGAAUUUUUUCAAGUAGAUUGUUUUAUGAAUAAUUUUUAGUCACUAAGAACUUUUUUUAUAAAGUUAGUUUAAAAAUGUAUGAGGUUUGGGAACUCCUGAUUUAAGACUUCAGAACCUCUGACUCUUGGUGUCAGGAGAUUUGUGUAUUGCAUAUUGGAAGAAGGGGAGUGAGCCCAUCUUGACUGAAUUAUCUAGAAUUACCUAUAAGGUGAAAAGUGUGCCUUGCCUGUUUUUUAAAACUUUUCCAUAAGCCUAUGAUGAUGAAUAAAGACAUAGUUGCAUUCCUG